RNAcentral lists this unclassified non-coding RNA (204 nucleotides) under Hevea brasiliensis (rubber tree). The record is from RNAcentral. Lineage: Eukaryota; Viridiplantae; Streptophyta; Magnoliopsida; Malpighiales; Euphorbiaceae.
CUUGUUGGUUCCAGAUGAAGUGCUAAGUUGGAUGUAUCAGUGUGGGUUUUCUUGCUGAACCAUGGAAGUGUUAUUUAUUUGAGCUUUAAUUAUUGGGUGUUCGAGUCCAUUGUGGACAGUUUGUAAUCAGUGUUGUCUCAGAAGGUGCUUGCGAACUUUACUAAAGGGGUGUGCCGCGUCUGAAUUGUAUAUUUUUUGAGUGGG